This 1235-nucleotide ribosomal RNA is filed under the name Enterobacter kobei. Its description in RNAcentral is "bacterial SSU rRNA". It matches the Rfam family "Bacterial small subunit ribosomal RNA", at positions 26 to 1272 of the family's 1533-position model. The record is from RNAcentral. Lineage: Bacteria; Pseudomonadati; Pseudomonadota; Gammaproteobacteria; Enterobacterales; Enterobacteriaceae.
AAGUUUACAUUUCGUUGAGAGCUACCAUGCAGUCGAGCGGCAGCGGAAAGUAGCUUGCUACUUUGCCGGCGAGCGGCGGACGGGUGAGUAAUGUCUGGGAAACUGCCUGAUGGAGGGGGAUAACUACUGGAAACGGUAGCUAAUACCGCAUAACGUCGCAAGACCAAAGAGGGGGACCUUCGGGCCUCUUGCCAUCAGAUGUGCCCAGAUGGGAUUAGCUAGUAGGUGGGGUAACGGCUCACCUAGGCGACGAUCCCUAGCUGGUCUGAGAGGAUGACCAGCCACACUGGAACUGAGACACGGUCCAGACUCCUACGGGAGGCAGCAGUGGGGAAUAUUGCACAAUGGGCGCAAGCCUGAUGCAGCCAUGCCGCGUGUAUGAAGAAGGCCUUCGGGUUGUAAAGUACUUUCAGCGGGGAGGAAGGCGUUGAGGUUAAUAACCUCAGCGAUUGACGUUACCCGCAGAAGAAGCACCGGCUAACUCCGUGCCAGCAGCCGCGGUAAUACGGAGGGUGCAAGCGUUAAUCGGAAUUACUGGGCGUAAAGCGCACGCAGGCGGUCUGUCAAGUCGGAUGUGAAAUCCCCGGGCUCAACCUGGGAACUGCAUUCGAAACUGGCAGGCUAGAGUCUUGUAGAGGGGGGUAGAAUUCCAGGUGUAGCGGUGAAAUGCGUAGAGAUCUGGAGGAAUACCGGUGGCGAAGGCGGCCCCCUGGACAAAGACUGACGCUCAGGUGCGAAAGCGUGGGGAGCAAACAGGAUUAGAUACCCUGGUAGUCCACGCCGUAAACGAUGUCGACUUGGAGGUUGUGCCCUUGAGGCGUGGCUUCCGGAGCUAACGCGUUAAGUCGACCGCCUGGGGAGUACGGCCGCAAGGUUAAAACUCAAAUGAAUUGACGGGGGCCCGCACAAGCGGUGGAGCAUGUGGGUUUAAUUCGAUGCAACGCGAGACCUUACCUACUCUUGACAUCCAGAGAACUUAGCAGAGAUGCUUUGGUGCCUUCGGGAACUCUGGAGACAGGUGCUGCAUGGCUGUCGUCAGCUCGUUGUUGUGAAAUGUUGGGUUAAGUCCCGCAACGAGCGCACCUUAUCCUUUGUGCAGCGGUUCGGCCGGGACUCAAGGAGACUGCAGUGAUAACUGGAGAAGGUGGGGGAUGACGUCAGUCAUCAUGUCCCUUUACGAUAGCUUACACGGCUACAUGGGCUUCAAGAGAGCGACCUCGCGAGAACAAAGCGGG